RNAcentral lists this ribosomal RNA (440 nucleotides) under uncultured bacterium. RNAcentral describes it as "partial 16S ribosomal RNA". It matches the Rfam family "Bacterial small subunit ribosomal RNA", at positions 338 to 795 of the family's 1533-position model. The record is from RNAcentral.
CCUACGGGUGGCAGCAGUAGGGAAUUUUGCGCAAUGGGCGAAAGCCUGACGCAGCAACGCCGCGUGAUCGAGACGCCCUUCGGGGUUUAAAGAUCUGUCAGUGGGGACGAAACUUGACGGUACCCACAGAGGAAGCACCGGCUAACUCCGUGCCAGCAGCCGCGGUCAUACGGGGGCUGCAAGCGUUGUCCGGAAUCAUUGGGCGUAAAGAGUUCGUAGGCGGCACGUAAAGUCUGGUGUUAAAGGCAGAGGCUCAAGUUCUGUAAGGUCGUGGAUACUUGCGAGCUAGAAUGCGGUAGAGGUAGAGGGAAGUCCUGGUGUAGCGGUGAAAUGCUUAGAUAUCAGGAGGAACAUCGAUGGCGUAAGCGGUUUACUGGGCCGUAAUUGACGCUGAGGAACGAAAGCGAGGGUAGCAAAUGGGAUUAGAUACCCCAGUAGUC